AGAUGGUACAGCAAAAAAAAAAAAAAAAAAAAAAGCAGUGGCUGGAAUGGCCAGAUGAGACUGCUGGGGGCCAGCAGGACGGCUCACACAGAGUGUGAGAUAUUUGGGGUUUGGCAAACCCUAAGAAGCUGGCUGCCAAGCUCCACUGCCCCUUGUCCCCCUAGUGUAUUUCAAAGGAAAUUAAAUCCACAUGUUUCUGAUUUGCUGACACUUAAAGCUCAUCCAAAGGUGGUUUUGCAAGAGUGGUUUGGACCCAAGAAGCCUAGAGAAACUUUAAUUAUCAUUGCUUUUUUCAUUUUGAAAUGCAGACCUGUAUGCUUACAUAAUAAAUGCCAGGCCUACAAAAUCCGAGCCCAGUUCUGCUUUACCAAAACUUUUUGUCCUGGGCCCACCAGAAACAAUCAGUGGAGUCAACUAGAGAAGACAAACAGUGACUUGAAUACCUGAUCUAGACAUCCACCUGGAAAAUGGCACUCUCCACGGCCCCUUUGGAUUGGGCUGCAACAGAACUGCCAAAGCUAACGUUCAAAAAUAUGUGCACAGUGUGGCUUGCGCCUCUAGAUUCCAUUGUUUCCUCAGACUCUGACCAAGGAGACGAAAUGCUCAAUUCAAGGUGGUGUCCACAUAGGUCCUGGGAGCCCGGGUCCAGGAAUGUGAGGCAUGAGGCCUCAAGGACAAGAGGCCAUCACAAAGGUGUACUGUGGAAUGUCCUGAAAUGUCCUGCCACGUCCCUGGAUGAAAACUAGACAAGCAGGAACCCCAAUUCUGCUGCAGGGCAACAGAAUCACAUUAUAGAGUCAGAAAGAAUUAGCGCUCUGGACAUGACCUGUCCCCUCUAAAAGUCCAGUCACCUGGAACUAGUGGCCAGAGAGAUCGGGGACCAAGGGGGCUGCCUCUUCUCAACCAGGGAUUAACAUUUUCCGCUUCUCCCAUCCCUGCCUCUGGCCACUGCAUAGAGACUUUCCAGAAGGUUCGUCUCAGAGACGGCCCCCUUCACUGCUCUGAGUUGUCCUGACAGAGGUGGUGGCUUUGUUCUCUCUGGUUCCCACCUCCUUCCCCAGCCCGGGGCCAUCAACUGCUCCGGUGGCAGUUUACCCGCUGGUCUCUGCCACUGCAACUCCCCAGCGCCCAGCUCUGGGGUCUGGGGCAGUCUAAACAGGAGUGUUUCUGAGAAUGACAGGGGGCACGAUGAAUAAUUUUGCAGAGACAACAGGCAUAACCCAGGACUGUCCCCGGAGUGCAGUCUGGGACAUAGGACCACCGUCUGUGGUGAAGUUCAUUGCCCAACACUUCCCAUGCAAGGAUGCGUCGUACCUUCACUUCAAAUCCCUCUUUGUUUGUGUUCCCGACUUCCUUUCAUCUCCUCCCAAGGGAAGGAAAUAUUCCCAGUGGUGCGUCUCUCUGAGAUCGAACGACCAUUCUGGGUAUUUCCAAGUUCAAAUGCCUAGAAGGAAAAGGGAGGACGUCGGAUUGGUCCAGCUCAUCUUCUGAUGCCAUAUCAGUGGUCACUGUCAAGGCCUCUGGUCAGCUGCCCAUCUGUGGCCAGAGAGGAGCAAGAUGACAUGAAAGGUGACUGUUGAGGGCCAAUUCUCAGGACAAUACGAGGGGCAGGAACGCUUCCAGAACAGCAGCUCCCGAGCGAUAUGGUCGGCUUUUUUGUCUGCUUUCUUUCCUCUCUUUUGUCAGCAAAGAAUGCUGACCCUCUCUUGGCCCAGCCAUCUCUCACCGCUCACAACUCAAGUGAGUCCUGUCUCUGCUGAUGCUCGUGUUCAUGAGAAGCAAACCCACAUUCUCUUUUAGUCCCUUACUCUUUCCAUGCUCCUUUUCAACUCUUGCCAACUUGCCUCAGCAUUCUUUACCUCCCUCCUAGUGAGAAAUCUGACUUCAGAAGAAGAUAAAGUAACAGGCCAGAACCACAUUCAAGACAAGUCUAACUAGAGAACUUAGUACCAUGACAUUCUAAAGGGAAAGGCCAGCCACUCCAUCAUAAUCUUGACAAAUCCCCAUUUACCUUUUUCAUCACCUCCAAAUCAACCUUUCCUUCCACCACAGUACUGGCAUAAAUAAAAUACUAUCCCUGUGUUUUA
Long non-coding RNA from Phacochoerus africanus (Common warthog), 2087 nucleotides. RefSeq lists it as uncharacterized. Lineage: Eukaryota; Metazoa; Chordata; Mammalia; Artiodactyla; Suidae. The transcript has 4 exons. The record is from RefSeq and is a predicted model, not a curated record.